This 253-nucleotide ribosomal RNA is filed under the name uncultured bacterium. RNAcentral's name for it is "partial 16S ribosomal RNA". It matches the Rfam family "Bacterial small subunit ribosomal RNA", at positions 524 to 776 of the family's 1533-position model. The record is from RNAcentral.
UACGUAGGGUGCGAGCGUUAAUCGGAAUUACUUGGCGUAAAGCGUGCGCAGGCGGUUCGUCGUGUCCGAUGUGAAAGCCCCGGGCUCAACCUGGGAAUGGCAUUGGAAACUGGCGGACUCGAGUGUGGCAGAGGGGGGUGGAAUUCCGCGUGUAGCAGUGAAAUGCGUAGAGAUGUGGAGGAACACCGAUGGCGAAGGCAGCCUCCUGGGCCAGCACUGACGCUCAUGCACGAAAGCGUGGGGAGCAAACAGG